Molecule: long non-coding RNA, 263 nt
Filed under: Elaeis guineensis (African oil palm)
Lineage: Eukaryota; Viridiplantae; Streptophyta; Magnoliopsida; Arecales; Arecaceae
Description: long non-coding RNA (EGUI_LNC014905)
Source: RNAcentral
GUGAAUAUAAUUACAUGUGAUACCAAAAUAAUCUUCCUUUUUUCUAGAGUUUUUCCAUGUCUAAUCCAACUGUUCUCCGAAUAUGCCCCAUUAGAUCGAAUCAUUCAUGAUCAUCGGCAACAAUCCAAGAUAACUAACAUUGAAUUAGAACUUCAAAAAAUAGUCAAAAGUCAAGGGUACCAAUUUGAGAUUUUUUGUAAUCUCAAGGGUCUCAUACAACUAAGAAGUAAAGAUCUAGUCUUCUGUUACCCUUUUGGUUGAAU